Molecule: ribosomal RNA, 244 nt
Filed under: uncultured bacterium
Lineage: Bacteria
Description: partial 16S ribosomal RNA
Rfam family: Bacterial small subunit ribosomal RNA
Source: RNAcentral
GAUCCUGGCUCAGGACGAACGCUGGCGGCGUGCUUAACACAUGCAAGUCGAACGAUGAAGAAAAGAAUCGAAGCUUCGGCAGAAAUUCAUUUCGGAUUAGUGGCAGACGGGUGAGUAACGCGUGAGCAACCUACCUCUUACAAAGGGAUAGCCUCGGGAAACCGGGAUUAAUACCAUAUAACAUUGCGACGAAGCAUUUCGAUGCAAUCAAAGCUACGGCGGUAAGAGAUGGGCUCGCGUCCCA